Molecule: long non-coding RNA, 2030 nt
Organism: Phyllostomus discolor (pale spear-nosed bat)
Lineage: Eukaryota; Metazoa; Chordata; Mammalia; Chiroptera; Phyllostomidae
Exons: 3
Source: RefSeq, a predicted model, not a curated record
CCGCGCGCGCCAGGCCCUGUCCCUGCGCGUCCUCGCGCCCAUCACGUGAUCCGCUCUGGUGCACGCCCGGCUUUUCCACAGCUGGUUCCCUGGCACCUGGCACCCGCAGGCUCAGUCUGAUACAGUCAACGCCAGGGCUCCCCAGGGCCGUCUUAAAAAGGUCUACACUCCGGACCUUUUUGCUGAAUGCAGAACAGCCAGUAAGGCCACCCGGUGACCUUACCGCAGCCACCCAGCAAGUGUGUGCUGCUGGAUCUGGGACCAGGACUCUGUGGCCUGGCAGAACCGCUGCAGCCGGAGGAGUGGCCUGGGGCUAGAGAUGGAAUCUUACGGGAAUCCUCACCAGCCCUCUAGAGUUUGGCCUCCCUGACCGGCAUCAGCCAGAACAUAACGUGAUCUCCUUUGUAUUUCACAGUAGCCGUGGGAGAUGGCUUCCUUACAGAUGAGGUCUGCCUCUCACGUGUGAGGAAACUGAAGCCUGAGCGGGAUCUGAUGACUUGGGGUUACUUAGACAAUUGAGGGCUGGGGAGCGCCGGGGUCCAGACUCCCAGACAGAGGCUUUUGGGAGUGGCCUAGGGACCUGGUCUCUGCCAGCAAAUGUGCGGUGCCCUUAGGGCAGGGGAAAGAUAACCCCAGCCUGUGGUUACACGGACCGAAAGAGAAAGAAUCAUAGAUUGUUAAAACUGAAGAAAGGGCCCUCAGAGACCAUCCAGUCCAGCCCCUUCACUUCACAGUGAAGAUGUGAACUGGAAGCUUCAGAAAAGCACAUUUGCUAGGCUUCAAUAGGCCUAACUCACAUAGCGGGUGAGCUUUGUGUUAAGAAGGAAUCUUACAGUAACAAGAGGUCAAAGACCCAGCUCAAAUGGACUUAAACAGGAAAGGAAAUUUAUUGGCUUCCUUACAGAAGAGCUUAGAGGUAGAUGUUAAAACACAGUUAAGCCCAGGGACUCAAAACUUGUCAGGACUGCAGCCCCACCUUUGAGCUGUGCUUUCUUCUGAGUUGGUUUCAUUCUCGGGUGGUUUCUCUCAUGGUGGCAAGAUCACUGCCACAUUUGCUUGUUUUCUAGCAACACCGGAAGGGAAAAAAAGCUCAUCUCUGCCUGUCUGUAUCUCUCUCUCUCUCCUUGUAACUAAAACCCCAGAGGUGACUCCCAUUGAUUAUUGGUUCUGUUUGGAGCCUGUACAAAUCCCCCAACCCAUCAGUAUGGAAUUGGGGGCUUAGUUAUCUCUACUUGCAUGGCAUGAAUGGGGCUGGGCGAGGACGGCUUUCCCAGUGAAAAUUGGGGUGCUUUCCUCAGAAAGUGUUGAGCAGACAAAAAAGCAGUGCCCAUUUCAGUUUCUGUUUCAAAAUUCUAAAUUCCUCCCUUUAAUUACCAAGUGAAGUCCAAAUUCCUUUACCAACAUCCAAGACCCACCUACUCUGAUCCAAAUCUAUCUUUUCAGGCUCAUUUUCUAAAUGAGCCUUUUGCUCUAGCCACACUGAGUUUCUCCAAAGCUCGCAUACCAUACACCUUCCUGCUGCUGCACCUUUGCUUAUACUGUUUCCGUUCUUCGGGAUGCCCCUUAUGGGGGAUGGGUUUUUCAAUGAAAGGAAUCCUUUCCAUAUCCAGGAUUAGCUCAGAUACCACACCUUCAUGAGGUCUUUCUGGUCUCCUUCAGCUGCAUGUGUUAUAUCUGUAUUUCUUAUGUCUUGGAGCAAAUGUCAAAUUUGUAUUUGUAUUAUAUUUACUUAUUUACUCAUCUAGCCUUUCCUACUAGCUCGUGAAAUUUCUUGAAGGCCAUAAUGCUGGUAUCCUUAUUUUUAAAUCCUCUUCAGUAUCAGGCAGUGCUUUGCACUCAAUAAAUAUUUGUUGAGUGAGGGAAUUGAAUAUUUAUGGCAUGGUCUGCACAGCCUUCGUAAGUGGGGAUCUGCUUUCCUGGAUGAGCUCAGUGUUGAGUGUUCCUGUUAAAAUGCAGCAUCAAAAUAGAAUGCCAUUUUAAAAAAAACCCUUUAUUUAUUUAUUUUUAGAGAAGGGGAAGGGAGAGAGAAA